This is a long non-coding RNA of Ananas comosus (pineapple), 354 nucleotides long. RefSeq lists it as uncharacterized. The record is from RefSeq and is a predicted model, not a curated record. The transcript has 3 exons. NCBI's taxonomy places the organism in Eukaryota, Viridiplantae, Streptophyta, Magnoliopsida, Poales, Bromeliaceae.
AUUAUAGGACUACAUGUCCAAAUAAUCAAGAUAGAACAAAUGAAGGCCGUAGAUGUAGAGCUUUAGAUGGACGAUCACGAAGAUCCCGGGCCAGUUGAUCCAGCAGUUCUAUCAGAUCAGGCUAGGCAUCGGUCGAGCUAUAUGUGAGGAGAGAGGUACGCGCCAGUUCAGUUUACGGAGCAUGGCCGUAAACUAAAUACAUGGACAGUCGAGCAUCUGGGAGUGAUAGAGCACUUACGACAUGCUGACUUUUUCUACGUCUCCCGCCUCAGAUGAGUACAGCUUGAUCAGGCUCUGUUAGGGGCGUUGAUAGAGCGAUGGGCGUUGAUAGAGCGAUGGAGACGCGAGACGCAG